RNAcentral lists this ribosomal RNA (928 nucleotides) under uncultured archaeon. RNAcentral describes it as "bacterial SSU rRNA". It matches the Rfam family "Archaeal small subunit ribosomal RNA", at positions 1 to 922 of the family's 1478-position model. The record is from RNAcentral.
UUCCGGUUGAUCCUGCCGGAGGUCACUGCUAUCGGAGUUCGACUAAGCCAUGCAAGUUGUGGGUAUUGAUCUUCGGAUCAAUAACCCGGCGGAAUGCUCAGUAACACGUGGAUAACCUGCCCUUAGGUUUGGGAUAACCCCGAGAAAUUGGGGACAAUAUCAAAUAAGCCAUUAAUGCUGGAAUGCAUAAUGGUUAAAAGCUCCGGCGCCUAAGGAUGGAUCUGCGGUCGAUUAGGUUGUUGUUGGAGUAAUGGCCCAACAAGCCGAUAAUCGAUACGGGUUGUGGGAGCAAGAGCCCGGAGAUGGAUUCUGAGACACGAAUCCAGGGCCUACGGGGCGCAGCAGGCGCGGAAACUUUACAAUGCACGAAAGUGCGAUAAGGGGACUUCGAGUGUCAAUGUAUUGCAUUGACUGUCCAGAUGCCUAAAAAGCAUUUGCUAGCAAGAGCCGGGUAAGACCGGUGCCAGCCGCCGCGGUAACACCGGCGGCUCAAGUGGUGAUCGCUAUUAUUGGGCCUAAAGGGUCCGUAGCCGGUGUAAUAAGUCUUUUGGGAAAUCUGGCAGCUUAACUGUCAGGCUUCUAAAGGAAACUGUUACGCUUGGGACCGGGGGAGGCUAGAGGUACUUCAGGGGUAGGAGUGAAAUCUUGUAAUCCUUGAAGGACCGCCGGUGGCGAAGGCGUCUAGCUAUAACGGGUCCGACGGUGAGGGACGAAAGCUAGGGUCACGAACCGGAUUAGAUACCCGGGUAGUCCUAGCCGUAAACGAUGUGAGCUAGGUGUCAGUCAUGGCAUGUCCGUGAUUGGUGCCGUAGGGAAGCCGUGAAGCUCACCACCUGGGAAGUACGGCCGCAAGGCUGAAACUUAAAGGAAUUGGCGGGGGAGCACAACAACGGGUGGAUGCUGCGGUUUAAUUGGAGUCAACGCCGGG